RNAcentral lists this transfer RNA (20 nucleotides) under Salvia iodantha. RNAcentral's name for it is "partial tRNA-His". The record is from RNAcentral. Lineage: Eukaryota; Viridiplantae; Streptophyta; Magnoliopsida; Lamiales; Lamiaceae.
GGCGGAUGAAGCCAAGUGGA